RNAcentral lists this transfer RNA (77 nucleotides) under Acidobacteriota bacterium. RNAcentral describes it as "tRNA-Met". It matches the Rfam family "tRNA". From Rfam's summary of the family: Transfer RNA (tRNA) molecules are approximately 80 nucleotides in length. Their secondary structure includes four short double-helical elements and three loops (D, anti-codon, and T loops). Lineage: Bacteria; Pseudomonadati; Acidobacteriota. RNAcentral also lists the same sequence under 3 other names. The record is from RNAcentral.
UGCGGGGUGGAGCAGCCAGGUAGCUCGUUGGGCUCAUAACCCAAAGGUCGGUGGUUCAAAUCCACCCCCCGCAACCA